UUGUGCCUACGGGGGGCAGCAGUAGGGAAUCUUCCACAAUGGGCGAAAGCCUGAUGGAGCAACGCCGCGUGGGUGAAGAAGGUCUUCGGAUCGUAAACCUCUGUCAGCAGGGAAGAACGGUCACUGUGCUAAUCAGCAGUGAAUUGACGGUACCUGCAAAGGAAGCACCGGCUAACUCCGUGCCAGCAGCCGCGGUAAUACGGAGGGUGCGAGCGUUAAUCGGAAUUACUGGGCGUAAAGCGCUCGUAGGCGGUAUGUCAAGUCAAGGGUGAAAUCCCCGCGCUCAACGUGGGAACUGCCUUUGA
RNAcentral lists this ribosomal RNA (305 nucleotides) under uncultured bacterium. RNAcentral describes it as "bacterial SSU rRNA". It matches the Rfam family "Bacterial small subunit ribosomal RNA", at positions 333 to 630 of the family's 1533-position model. The record is from RNAcentral.